Molecule: long non-coding RNA, 751 nt
Filed under: Monodelphis domestica (gray short-tailed opossum)
Lineage: Eukaryota; Metazoa; Chordata; Mammalia; Didelphimorphia; Didelphidae
Description: lncRNA (ENSMODG00000045379.1)
Source: RNAcentral
CCCCCACACAUGACCUCAGGUACCUGGAAUAAUCUGUUAGUGCCUUCUCCAAACGACCUCAACUGACAGAUUAAUUUUUGAUGGUCUCAAUCCCUGUUUCUUAAAACUGUGAGUGAGAGGAAAAGAAUGUCUUCCUAUUAGAAGGUGACUUUUUGUUUUGUUUUGUUAUUCUACUUUUUUAAACAGUUUGUCAAAAAGAGCUUAUACAUGGAACAAUGGGACACAGAGGUUGAAAUUCCAGGAGCUUGGGAAUCUUAGAGUCCUGGACUUCCAGUCAAGAUGGUGGCUUAGAAGCAGCGAAAGUUCAGACCUUGGAAACCCUUCCUUACCGAUCGCAAACUGAGUGCUCCCAGGACACUGAAAUUCAAGCUGAACAACAGAACAGACCAGGGGAACCCUCCUCCCGGACCUGGAUCAAAAGGCAUUUCUACAUUAUCAUGCAAUAAACUGAGGACUCUGAUGUUGAAGUACAAAUGUGGUAACUACUUUUUCAUCAAUGGAUUUUCUAUAAAUUGUAUACAUGCUUUACAUUUUUUGCCUUUAAGGCUCCACAUUCUUAAAUUUUCUUGAGGUGAUUUUGCCCAAUUGAUCCAAGUCUCUUGCCAAGUUAUUUGUGGACUUAGCUUUUUUUUUUUACUAUAUUCUUCUUACAUUAUUUUACAAGGUGAAGCUCCUCACUGUCAUCUAUCAUUUUCCUCUGUAAGAUUUUACAUGAAUUUGUUAAAUAAACUGAUAUUCCUUUUGGCUUCCA